GCGUAGGUGGUUCAGUGGUAGAACUCUCUCCUCCCAUGUGGGGGACCUGGGUUCAAUUCCUGGCCUAUGCA
Non-coding RNA from Orycteropus afer afer, 71 nucleotides. The record is from the annotation of a RefSeq genome assembly. NCBI's taxonomy places the organism in Eukaryota, Metazoa, Chordata, Mammalia, Tubulidentata, Orycteropodidae.